GGAUGAACGCUGGCGGCGUGCCUAAUCCAUGCAAGUCGAGCGAACAGACGAGGAGCUUGCUCCUCUGACGUUAGCGGCGGACGGGUGAGUAACACGUGGAUAACCUACCUAUAAGACUGGGAUAACUUCGGGAAACCGGAGCUACUACCGGAUAAUAUAUUGAACCGCAUGGUUCAAUAGUGAAAGACGGUUUUGCUGUCACUUAUAGAUGGAUCCGCGCCGCAUUAGCUAGUUGGUAAGGUAACGGCUUACCAAGGCGACGAUGCGUAGCCGACCUGAGAGGGUGAUCGGCCACACUGGAACUGAGACACGGUCCAGACUCCUACGGGAGGCAGCAGUAGGGAAUCUUCCGCAAUGGGCGAAAGCCUGACGGAGCAACGCCGCGUGAGUGAUGAAGGUCUUCGGAUCGUAAAACUCUGUUAUUAGGGAAGAACAAAUGUGUAAGUAACUAUGCACGUCUUGACGGUACCUAAUCAGAAAGCCACGGCUAACUACGUG
Molecule: ribosomal RNA, 498 nt
Filed under: uncultured bacterium
Lineage: Bacteria
Description: partial 16S ribosomal RNA
Rfam family: Bacterial small subunit ribosomal RNA
Source: RNAcentral